RNAcentral lists this long non-coding RNA (7055 nucleotides) under Gallus gallus (chicken). The record is from RNAcentral. Lineage: Eukaryota; Metazoa; Chordata; Aves; Galliformes; Phasianidae.
GGGAAUUUAGCUACUAUGACAUUUUCAGAAGUUGCAGAACAAAGUAAAAUAACAUUCCUUAGUGCUCUUAAAUAGUUCUUUAGUUGCUUGACCAGAAGAUGAGAAGUUUAUCAUGAAAACCUGCCACAGAUAAUAAAAGAAUAGAUAAAUUCUAAUGGUGUCACACCAAAGGCAAGCUAACUUCUCCCUCAAAUUACCCAGAGACAAUCAGUCAUCAAAAAAUAAUUGGUUUAACUGUGGGAUUUGGGAUGAAAUUUAAGUGUCUUAAACAUAUAUGACAAAGUAGCUGAUAAGCAUAGCUUAAACCAAAACCUACUUCAAUGGCCUAUCACUCACAAGCAACCAUAAAAAUAUGCAACUGGAACUGUUUUUCUUUUGUGUCUGGUUUAAGACAUAUCUUUCUUAUGAACUAAAAUAAUAACAAGAUCAUAAAACAAAAUUAGUAUGCACCAGUCCAGCUAUACCAAAGAUAUUUUGUCAGAAACAGAAUACUUAGCAUAUUCUUGACAUGAACUAAGUGCAAGGUCUCAUCUGACCUCAAAGAUUUAACAUUUGGAAGCAAUUAGAGGUUCCCUCUUUACUGCACGGUCUUGCUUAAUCAGCAAACUAAAAAGACAAUUAAUCUUUUUUUUUUUAAAGCCCCAUGCUACCAGUAAGUUCAUAUUCCAAUUCUAUCACUGCAAGUUUACACUUAAUAAGUAUACAGUAUGUUGAUUUUUGUUUAGGAGCAGUCUAUCAUGCUUGGCUCAGUAAAACAUGCUAAAAUUUAAGAUUAUGACAACCAUCUAUAGCCCAAUCUCAAAACUUAAAUAGUAAUCUAAUUUCAAGAGCAUGCAAGUCACUUAACUCUCUACAGCAGAAGCAAUGAUAAAUUUAAGAAGCCAAAAGCUGAAUUUUAGUGUCUAAUACUGGCAUCAUGGCUGGAGUAAGCAGAACAACAGGUUCCAUUUCUGUCUUCAAGCAGUGCCAGCAUAUGCAGCUUCCACUGCUCAGCUCACUCUUUGGAUAACCCUUAGCUAUGGCAGAAAGGAGUCAGAGGUUGCAUGGCUCUUGUAUAAUGAACCACAGGGAAAAUAAGCAUCCUAACAUUAAAGCCUCUCUGGAAAUAAACCUAUUAUUCCAGUCAAAUUCACUGCCUGACAUACUCCAUGUGGCCUCAUACAAUUGUGCUGCUACUGCAUCAGUUCAAAACUAGGAAGUAGCAAUUAGGGGCAGACGGGAGAUACUUAAAACUGAACUUAUCACUAAGACAAAAAUUUAGAAAUAUGUUAGCUGUCAAUCUGUCUAAAAGAACCUUAAUUGGAGUUAACAGAUAUAUAGGGAAAGAGUCUCUUAUCAAUCAUACCGUCUCACUAAAUAACAUCAAAGGAAGCUGGAGCUUCCAAAAAAUCAAUUGCUGAAUUGUUUUCAGUUUGACUCACUAGUUAAAAAAGCUUCUUAAUAUAAGCCUUGAAGGAUCAACACAGGAGUUCUGAACGCAAACUAAGACUUUUGAAUACUGACUCCAUUCCUGUAACUUUAACAAUAUGCUUCUAACAUACGCAUCCAAAGACUUAAAAUUCAGACACACCACUUAUUUUUCUACCAGAGGGAGGACUGAAGGAAUGGAGAAUUAGGAGCUUUCCCAUUUAUUGAAAAAGACGAAUAAGGGUGAAAAAAAAAUACCCAUAAAAGAAUUAGCCAAAAUAUGUCUGAUUUGCAUACAUUUACAUUAUUUCAUAAACUGAUGUGCAUUAUCUGAUGGAAUGGAAAAGAAUUAGCAAGCAGAAGAUCUGGAUACAGCCUACAGGAACUUAAGAGUAGCAGGUGAGGCAUAUUAACCCAUUCCAAAAAAGGAUUUGGUCAGUGAAAUUGGUUAAUACAUUCUGGAAGAGGAUAUACAUUGAAAAGAUGAAGCUAAAACCUCAUUAAUGAGCAGUUCUGCUGAAGAUGUAUUUAAACUUACUAUCUGCUUCAUUCUGAAAACCUGGGCCUGUGCAAUCAACAUGGUGUGCAGAAGCACAAACACUGUCUCUUCUUGCCAGGAAAUGGGGAGCGGUUUUAAGCAGCACAUUGAAAUCAGUCACUCAGAGUCAACUAUUGUAACAAAGAGGUGAAUGGUCAAAGACAAUCCACUGUAUAGGUGGUACAGUUUAAAAGAGGGUCUUCCUGCUGACAAGACUUCACCCAUUCUAGACUUCGUAAUGGUUCCACACUAAUGCAUCAAGAAAAAUUUCCUGAACAAGGUUCUGAAAAUAAUGCUGCAUGAAUUACACUUAAGAGUUAAUGAGAAACCCCAAAGCAGAGUGUUUAAUUAAACAUCAUCUUAGAAAUACAGGCAAAUCAGGGAGUUGCUUGAUACUUUAUAGGUGAAAUACUUUCUCAUUUAAUUAGGAAGACGUUUAUCUCUUGCAAAGCUGAAAAGGCCAGAAGACAGCAACAAUGAUGGGAUGCAGUCUCACAAACACUGUUAGAGUGCACAAGGUCAUACGCAUAUCUACAUGUAAAGGUACACUUUCUCUCACCAGGUAACCUUUCACUGUAAACAAAACUAAAAUGACAAACUACAGAAUCUAUUUUUCUGGAGUCUUUGAUACUCCACUGUCUCAUGCAUAGUAUUGCAGUAGAAAGCCUUUGAUUAAAACCCAGAAUUCCAUUUGUCAUUAGUGUGAAAUACGUGGAGCUGCUUCUCCAGCAACUUUUGCAUUCCUACUCCCCCUGCCACUUUUUUCAUGCACAGGAGGUGUAUAAGCAUUGCUACUAAAGCAGAUACAUUUUUCCAAUUGUCUCUUGUUACCAAGACUUGAAUCUAAAAUAUCACAUUAUUUUAUAAGAAUGGAACCUGAAAGAAGCUCUAACUCUCAGGAAAGAGAGAGUUACAAUAGCUUUUAUAGGUGGCUGGUGUGUACAAAAUGAGUGAACAGUAAGAAAGCACGUUACACUUUCACAUACACUGUUACAUAGGAAGUGAUACGAUUUAACACAGGCAAGAACCAAUUGCACAAAUCUGAUAAAUUCACCCUGCCACUAUUCCACACUGCUUGAUUAACAAUGAAGUAUGAAAGCAUUACCAUCUUGACUGACUUGCAUCACAGCUGUUCCAGCCCAAUUCAGUUUCUGCCACUGCUUUUCUAAGCACAUUUAGCAAGACUGGCACCAGCAUAGUCUUUAACAGCAAGACUGAAAGCAACUGAAGAGUCAAGUACCCCUUAUAGUUAUUGUCGUCAGAUCACAAACAGGAAACUCAUUUAAUGCUCUCAGCGCUACAAAAUACACAGGAUUCUUGAGAUUUUUUUUUGUUGUUGUUGUUUUUGUUUGUGUGUGUGUGUGUGUGUGGAAGAUAAACAAACACUGCUAAGACCCAAGACCACCUAUGGCUCUUGAAGUACUGUAGCUGAAAGUCUACAGCUGGAUUUCAAAAUCAUUUAUUUCUAGUCACCACCCACACGUGCAGAGCCAGGACUGGGAACCUAUUUCCAAACUUUUCUUAUUAGGCCAUGGCAAAUUUUAACUAGGAUGAAGGCUUUAUUCAAAGCAAAGAUCACAAGUUUAAUAUUUACUUUUCCAAUCUGAAGUGUUAUUAACAGCAGUAAGGGAAGUGUUGCCAAGUCUACCUAGUCUAUCUUAUUAAGAAACAAAAAGCUAGAGACAGCUCUUGCAACUAUCAGCUUCAAGUCUUUUCCAAACAUUUUUCCCCCUCACUUUUAAAUUCCACAAGAUUUCAGUAAAAUAUUUUUUCUAAAUUAGAUUUAGAUGACUUGAAAAAGGUAAGGACAAAAGUAUUAUAUAUCCUGGCAAUAAUCAGUUGGGCCCCUACUACUACAACAGAAGUUCAUCUUAGUAAAAUCUGAAAAACCUUCUGAAUCAAUUCUAGAAGACAUCAUGCACAGCAUAGUGAAGAAUAAGGUAGAAUAAACAAUGGUUUUAUAUCCUGGAGUGUAAAUGAAAACUACUAAAAUAAAACAAAGGUUGGCUCAAGCUCUCAAAACAUUAAUCUGAAACUACAAGCCAUCCUGACCACCUUGUUUAGUGCACUUCAAACAAAGUCAUCGGUAAUCAAGUCUGUUAGACUGCUUGAGAAAUAAAAUCUGCAAUUAGACUUUGCUCCACUGCUGUGUCAAAAUGUGCCGGUCUGAAAGAAAUGCAGAUUUGCUUCUACUGACUGAAUACAACUGCACUGAGAUUUGCAUAGUAAUCCUAGAGAUCGUUUACAGAGUCGUGGAUGAACAGCCCAAGUCAAACAUCAAGUCUGAUAUCAGGUCAAAGGACACAUCAAACAGUGGAAUUUUCCAGCCUUUUUAACAUGGAACACAGACCUCAUAAGCCCUUCCUAACAACGCUACAAGACCUGUUAAUAGCUUUAUUAUAAAACCUCUAUUAUGGAAGUUUCAGCCUUCUGCCAACCUCUGUAUGAAUGCAACAAAAAACUCCUCUCAUUCAUAUGGUACCUUCUGAUCAACACUCCAAAUCUGCUUUGCUGUACACAAAGGUACACCCUUAAAAAACAAAGGGUAUGGAAAACAGUGUUCUAUCCAACCAUUAAUUCAGCAGUAGCUUCCUUCCCCAUGGCAACUUGCACAUUUUCUUUCCAAUUCUAGGCGAACCUCAGUCACAUAAUGGACUUUUUCAUUUACAAAAUUGAAUUUUUAAUAAUUUGUCCUUUAUAAAAUUACAGGAAAUUUAAGACAAUCUAUUAAACUUAUAUUAAUGCAGUAAUUUAAUAGUGAUGUGGAUUUCUGUGGGCAUUUAGCAACUGAAGAACAAUGGCCUACUCUGAUAAAUAGGGAGAUUCACAUCAAUAAUUCUGUGAACGCUGCCAUGCAUAUGGUACAAACAUGCCAUAUAUGGUAAAAACUUAAGCAUGUAGCUGCAGUUAAUCAGAUGAUAUUUACCAUGGGUGAAGAGACAAAGGUCUUCAGUUACGUCCUACCUGGACUUGUGGCACUCUGCCCUGUGCCACCGUUUGAACAGUUGCCAGAAAUAUCCCAGUAACAUCAUCAACGAAUAAAAUGUUUGCUUCUCCAAACUCAAUCAAAUUGCUUCAUGUUUGCAGUGAUCUCGGUAAGCAACAAUAGGGAAAGCAAGGAACUACUUGAAGCAUUUCCACUAAGUCUUAAAAGGGAUAAGGAUGUCUCAGAGUACAAAGAAAAACAGUUUUCUCCACGGAAAAAAAAAAGUAUCAGUCUUGAUUCAUCAGGGACAAGGGCAUAUCCUGUGCCAGCAAGCUCAGCUCUGCUGCACUGAAGCCAUUCUGCUCCAUUUACUAGAGUACAUUGGCUUACAUAAGUGCAUACUAAAUACAGAAAGGAAGAGUUCUACAGUUUGAACCUGAAGAACACUAUUGUAUUACUGUGCCUACAGUGUUAAAACUUGCAGAUUUAGGAGCAAAAGCAGUAGCUGUAGAAAAGGAAAUACAAGGCAACUUAUUUAAGAACACACCAAGACAAGCACACAGAACAGAGAUAACGUGCUACUCAGAAUAAAAGCAAGCAUUGUAAAACACAAGCAUAACAGAUAAACCUGUUCUUCUGAGCUGUAAUUUGUGCUACUGUAACUAGCAUUAAAAAGACUACCAGAUAUCAACACUUACCUUACUCCUAUAAGUAAUGCUAUCAGCAUUGAACAAAUAGGAUCUGCUAUCAUUAGACCAUAGUUCUGCAUCAAUAUAGCAGAUAUGAUUACACCAAUACUUCCAAGUGUGUCUGCAACAAUGUGUAGAAAUACACCUGUAAGAGAUUAAUUAACAUCAAUUUAGCUUGGUAUUCUUAAAGCUAAUUGAAUUAUUUCAAAGAUUCUUUGAGAAGGAGAGUUGCAAGACAUAGGUAACAUGAUUUAUACUUGUUACGUUCUGCAUCAAUUUUUGGUCAAAUACAUAAAGAGCAAUCACAGGGUUUCAAUAUAUCCUUACAAUAUAAAGCACUUGCAGAAAUUAUAUUAUCUUCUGCACAUAGCAUGAAGGGGUAUUUCACGGCAUGCCUAUCAACUUCUGCAGUGAGCUACAGCUAACAUUUUUCAUUCAGUACUCACCUACAUUAUAGCAAAGAAAUUCAUAUCAACAAAAAUAGACCAGUAAGGCUUUGAAAGAUGCUUGUUUCAUUGACAGUAGAAGCUGCUUAGCAAAGAGACUGAAGACAAGUGAUUUUGAGAAUUACUUAUUUACUGCAGAAAUGUACAAGUUCACUGUUAUUUUGAAGAACGCACAAGGUAAAGAGGAGGAAUCAAACUUUGCAGCUAGUCAAAAAUCAGUCUUUGGCGCUCCCUGCUGGCAAUAACAGGAAUAGUCAUUCAGAAACAGCUUGCUGAAUAUAUUUAUCAGGACCAUGAUAUUCCGCCCUCACAAAAAAUAACUCACAACAAUAAAUGAGCAUUCUACCAGUUUUCUUAAGCCUUCUUUGUGCUGGGCCUGUAGAUAAUUCCCUUCAUAGCAGCCCACAGAGUGCCAGGCAUCAGGUUUGUGACUGUUUGUUACUUACCAACAUUUUAGCUAUUGCUGAAUGAUCCUUAUACAGCAUCAAGGCCUUCUCUGUUUCUCACUCUGCCCCCAUGCAAGCAGGCAGGGGCUCAGCAUAAUGCUGGAAGGGGACACAGCCAGGACAGCUGACCCAGACCAGCCAGAGAUAUGUUCCAUUCUAUGAAAUAUCGUGCUCAAUAACUAAACAGAAUCUUUCAAAAGCAGUUGUUGGCUGGGAGACAGCAAGUGAUUGCCUUUGUACCAAACUCUGUUUCCUAUUUUUUUCUUUAUUAAAUUGUCUAUAUCACAUUCCAAACAUAUUUCUUGUCUGUACUCUUUUGAUCUUCUCGCCAUCAUUGCUGCAGGGAAGGGGAGGUGGUUGCUUGGGUGGUGGACAGAGCGAACUCAGAAGAAUACUGAAAAGUUGAAGUACUCUUUUUUUUAAUCAUGAUUCAGUUAAAACAUGCCUUUUACUUGGAAGUCAGUAGAUCAGUCUUCUCAUAUCUGUCUUGAAGUAUAUAUACACACAAUGGUGAAGAUAUAAGCACUGGAAGAAGUGGAAAAUGUUCCCUUGGAAGGACUUGUAAGAUCUGCUUGCUAGAACCAGUCAUCCCCUCAAGACAAU